This 472-nucleotide ribosomal RNA is filed under the name uncultured bacterium. Its description in RNAcentral is "partial 16S ribosomal RNA". It matches the Rfam family "Bacterial small subunit ribosomal RNA", at positions 28 to 507 of the family's 1533-position model. The record is from RNAcentral.
GACGAACGCUGGCGGCGUGCUUAACACAUGCAAGUCGAACGCUGAAGCUUGGUGCUUGCACUGGGUGGAUGAGUGGCGAACGGGUGAGUAAUACGUGAGUAACCUGCCCUUGACUCUGGGAUAAGCCUGGGAAACUGGGUCUAAUACUGGAUACGACAUGUCACCGCAUGGUGGUGUGUGGAAAGGGUUUUACUGGUUUUGGAUGGGCUCACGGCCUAUCAGCUUGUUGGUGGGGUAAUGGCUCACCAAGGCGACGACGGGUAGCCGGCCUGAGAGGGUGACCGGCCACACUGGGACUGAGACACGGCCCAGACUCCUACGGGAGGCAACAGUGGGGAAUAUUGCACAAUGGGCGGAAGCCUGAGGCAGCGACGCCGCGGGAGUGAUGACGGCCUUCGGGUUGUAAACCUCUUUCAGCACGGAAGAAGCGAAAGUGACGGUACGUGCAGAAGAAGCGCCGGCUAACUACGUG